ACCUUGUUUGUAAACUAGAGUUCGUAUAUAGAAUGCUGUUAUAUGAAUGAUGUUUCAAAAGACUACUUGUAGAGUUUUCUGAAAUAAAUGUGAAACCUUAACCUGAAUUUUAGACCCAUGGCUAACAUUAAUCAACCAAAAUGAACAGGGGAGAGAGGUAGUUGAUAUUAAAUUCUGAAAUUAUCGCUUGGUCAAUACCAGCAAUAAAAAAAAUGUAUUAUCACGUCCACGUUCACUCUUGCAAGUUCGAAUCCCGUGGGAGUAAUGGUCCCAUGUUAUGACUUGUAGCCACGUAACCACGAUGAUGAUGAAGAAGGCCUUUUGCAGUUUACUAUUUAGAAUACGGUAAUAUCCAUAAACAUACUGUAUUAAAUUAAGAUGCUUUUGUAACUAUUGUUUGCAUAUUCAGAAUGCGAAGCUGGCAAAUAUGGCGCUGACUGUCUACAAGAUUGUCAUUGUAAUGCUACUGAGUGUAAUCGUUGGACCGGCUGUGAUACUGGAGCAACAUGUAACCCUGGUUACACAGGCAGAAGAUGUAUAGAAUGUGAAGCUGGCAAGUAUGGCGCUGAUUGUCUACAAGAUUGUCAUUGUAAUGUUACUGAGUGCGAUCCUUCCAGAGGAUGUGAUGUGAACGCAACAUGCCACCCUGGUUACGUAGGCCAAAGAUGCUUAGAUAAAGAUACCAGCAAACAUUCGAAUGAUACGACCUCUGGUGUGGGAACAACUAAUGGUAACGUACUUAUAGUGUCAAAUUAACAUGGACCUGUAAUAAUAAUUAUAGCUCCAUGAUAGUUUGGUAAAGUGUAUCAGUCAAUCGCAAGCCUUGUCGGUGAAUAUGAUGAAGAAUGGUUUAGGUCAGUUUUAUUUAAGAUACAUAUGGACCAUGGAGGAAAUAUAUUAAGAUAUAGUUCCUCCAUGAUAUAACCCCUUGUUUUACAGCAUUACUAGAUUAAUUGAAUUUUUGAAAAGUAGUUUUUGGAGAUUUUUCAGAUUGCAAUCGUCCAGAUUUAUUUUGAAAAGGACACUGCGAGUCUUGCAACAUACUGUACAUCAUUGGAUCUAUGGCUUCCGACGCAGUCUUCCAAAAAUGCAGGCGCUACUCUCAACAACUUUUACGAUGGAAAAUUGUUUCUGGACAACAUGACGGAUGCAUUCAAUCUGGAUAACGAGUAGAUGAACUGAAAAAGCACAUGACGAGAAUUAUACUCACGUUUAAAAAGUAAUUGCUUUGAAUUAUUAACAAUAAUUUUUGUUAAAGAUGUUAGAGCCAAUAAUAAUUAAGCAUAUUUGCAGUGUAGGUGUUUCUCCAUAGCGAAGUUACUAUCACGUGAUUUACUAUUAUCCAUUGUGUAUUACGCAAUACCGUCAGAAAAAAACUUGUACUAAUGGGAAAAUCCAAGGGUGAAUACCACUUAGCCUCAUAGCUGAAUUGGUAGAUUAUCUUAACAGUAAUCGGAAGGUCUUGAGUUUAAAUCCCGAUAGUAACAAUAUGUUUUUCUCAAAUAUUUAUUAUAUUUUCAAACAAAAAUGUCUAAAAUUCUAUUGAUGAACCGUACAGAACGAAUCUGGACAUUGUGCCAGUGUCACAUUAAUAUCGUCCCCAAAUCCUUUCAAAGGAGUUUCAAAUUUUGAACAACUGAACAGAGGCAUCAACAUCGACCUCGAUUUAUUGAUAUAAUUAUGGAGAUAAUACUUACAUUACGCUCAUAUACAUAAUAUGUAUUAUACGAUUAGGUAUAUAGUUUGUUUGUUAUUAUAAAAACAUAGAAUGAGUCUGUUGCAGAGUAUCAUGUUGCUAUUAUCAACCACAUUCGUAUUGUAUCAUG
Anneissia japonica is the source of this 1826-nucleotide long non-coding RNA. RefSeq lists it as uncharacterized. NCBI's taxonomy places the organism in Eukaryota, Metazoa, Echinodermata, Crinoidea, Comatulida, Comatulidae. The record is from RefSeq and is a predicted model, not a curated record. The transcript is spliced from 3 exons.